GCUGCUGUAGCUCAGUUGGUAGAGCGGUGGACUGAAAAUCCAUGUGUCAGGAGUUCAAUUCUCCUCGGCGGCA
This 73-nucleotide transfer RNA is filed under the name Entomospira nematocerorum. It matches the Rfam family "tRNA". From Rfam's summary of the family: Transfer RNA (tRNA) molecules are approximately 80 nucleotides in length. Their secondary structure includes four short double-helical elements and three loops (D, anti-codon, and T loops). RNAcentral also lists the same sequence under 1 other name. Lineage: Bacteria; Pseudomonadati; Spirochaetota; Spirochaetia; Spirochaetales; Spirochaetaceae. The record is from Rfam by way of RNAcentral.